GUCACACCCACCUAUCCGGUCAGUCAGUAUCGGUGAGCGUCGAAACCACCACCGGCUUGUUUACACGAGCCACUGUGAGCACGAGCCGAGGAGUAAGGUCUCUCUCCAGCCGCAGCAGCAGCAGAAGCUUGGUUCACCGUCGGUGGGAUGAGGAGAUGUAACUCAUCGGGAAAUUUCUCCCCUGCUUCCAGUGCAACCUGUUGCCAGUACAUCGGAUAGCCCUCGUCCCGCCUCAGGACCGACUCGAUUGGUGGGAGGCUCCCCGAGAAGGCGGUGCCUGCUGCUCAGCUUCAUCUCUGUGUACACAUAAAGCGAGUGUGACCCAUAUCCACACUGAUAUUAUUAGAAAUAGUCUCUCAAUCAGUCUGGAAAUGUUGGCAUAGUAGAUUUAACCAACAGUGUAUUCAGCUACACAUGAACUGGAUGGCUUUACUAUUAAGAUUGUUCUGAAACUUCAGUGUGAUCCUCAUUUAAAUAUGUGUGUUAACCCUUC
Long non-coding RNA from Notolabrus celidotus (New Zealand spotty), 493 nucleotides. RefSeq lists it as uncharacterized. Lineage: Eukaryota; Metazoa; Chordata; Actinopteri; Labriformes; Labridae. The transcript is spliced from 2 exons. The record is from RefSeq and is a predicted model, not a curated record.